UGGGCACUGUCACAGGGGCUGCCCGGGGAGCUGGCCAAGGCGGUGGCCGGCAGCUGGGUGCUGGUGGUGGGCACGGGCGGCAUCAGUUAAGAGCUCCUCAAGAACCUGGUGCCCACUAACUUCUUCUACAUCGACCUGAUUGAUCUGGAUACUAUUGAUGUCAGCACCUCAACAGGCAGUUUUUGUUUCAAAAGAAACAUGUUGGAAGAUCAAAGGCUCAGGUUUCCAAAGAAAGUGUACUCCAGUUCCACCCAAGGGCUAACACUGUCACUUACCACGACAGCAUCAUUAACCCAGACUAUAAUGUGGAAUUUUCCCGGCAGUUUAUAUUGGUUAUGAAUCCCUUAGAUAAUAGAGCUGCCCCCAAACCAUGUUAAUAGGAUGUGUCUGGCAGCUAUGUGCCUCUUUUUGAAAGUGGGACUGCUGGUUAUCUUGGACAAGUGACUACUAUCAAAAAGGGUAUGACUGAGUGUUACGAAUGUCAUCCUAAGCCAAUCCAGAGAACGUUUCCUGGCUGCACAAUUCAGAACACCCCUUCAGAACCUAUUCACUGCAUCGUUUGGGAAAAGUAUUUGUUCAACCAGCUUUUUGGAGAGGAAGAUGAUGAUCAAGAAGUAUCAACUGACAGAGCUGAUCCUGAAGCUGCUUGGGAACCAACAGAAGCUGAAGCCAGAGCCUGAGCAGCUAAUGAAGAUGGAGACAUUAAGCGUAUUUCCACUAAGGAAUGGGCUAAGUCAACUGGCUGUGAUCCAGUUAAACUGUUUACGAAGCUUUUUAAAGAUGACAUCAGGUAUCUACUGACAAUAAUAAACUGUGGCACAAAAGGAAGCCUCCAGUUCCCCUGGAUUGGGCUGAAGUACAGAGUCAAGGAGAUAAAGCCAAUGCAUCCGAUCAACAAAAUGAACUGCAGUUAGGUUUGAAAGACCAGCAGGUUCUAGAUGUAAAGAGCUAUGCAAGUCUUUUUUUCAAAGAGCAUUGAAACUUUGAGAGUUCUUUUAGCAGAAAAGGGGGGUGAAGCUGAGGUCAUAUGGGAUAAGGAUGAUCCAUCUGCAAUGGGUUUCAUCAUCUCUGCUGCAAACCUCAGGAUGCAUAUUUUCAGCAUGAAUAUGAAGAGCAGAUUUGAUAUAAAAUCAAUGUCAGGAAACAUUAUUCCUGCUACCACUACUACAAAUGCAGUGAUUACCGGAUUGAUAGUAUUGGAAGGAUUAAAGAUUUUGUCUGGAAAAACAGACCAGCGUAGAACAAUUUUUUUGAAUAAACAAUCAAACCCAAGAAAGAAGCUCCUUGUGCCUUGUGCACUGGAUCCUCCCAAUCCCAAUUGUUACGUGUGUGCCAGCAAGCCAGAGGUGACUGUGCAGCUGAAUAUCCAUAAAGUGACCGUCCUCACCUGACAGGAUAAGAUAGUGAAAGGAAAGUUUGCUAUGGUGGUGCCAGAUGUCCAAAUUGAAGACAGGAAAGGGACAAUCCUAAUAUCUUCAGAAGAGGGAGAGACUGAAGCUAAUAAGCCCAAGUUUUCAGAAUUUGGAAUUAGGAAUGGCAGCUGGCUUCAAGCAGAUGACUUUCUUCAGGAUUAUACUUCACUGAUCAACAUCCUUCAUAGUGAAGACCUAGGAAAGGAUGUGGAGUUUGAGGUUGUUGGUGAUGGCCCAGAAAAAAUGGGACCCAAACAAGCUGAAGACACUGCCAAAAGCAUCACCAAUGGCAGCGAUGACAGUGCUCAGCCUUCUACCUCCACGGCACAAGAGCAAGAUGAUGUGCUCAUCAUUGACUCAGAUGAAGGACCUUCAAAUAAUGCUGACAUUAGUGAGGAUGAGAGGACUCGCAAGAGGAAACUGGAGGAAAAGGAGGGUGGCAGUGCCAAGAGGUCUUGCUUGGAGCCACUGGAAAAGCUUGAUGACAUCAUAGCAUUAGAUUGA
RNA transcript from Nannospalax galili (Upper Galilee mountains blind mole rat), 1916 nucleotides. It is a transcript of the gene named SUMO-activating enzyme subunit 2 pseudogene, with no coding region annotated. The transcript has a single exon. Lineage: Eukaryota; Metazoa; Chordata; Mammalia; Rodentia; Spalacidae. The record is from RefSeq and is a predicted model, not a curated record.